RNAcentral lists this ribosomal RNA (361 nucleotides) under uncultured bacterium. Its description in RNAcentral is "partial 16S ribosomal RNA". It matches the Rfam family "Bacterial small subunit ribosomal RNA", at positions 338 to 696 of the family's 1533-position model. The record is from RNAcentral.
CCUACGGGAGGCAGCAGUGAGGAAUAUUGGUCAAUGGGCGCGAGCCUGAACCAGCCACGUAGCGUGAAGGAUGACUGCCCUACGGGUUGUAAACUUCUUUUAUAAAGGAAUAAAGUGAGGCACGUGUGCCUUUUUCUAUGUACUUUAUGAAUAAGGCUCGGCUAAUUCCGUGACAGCAGCCGCGGUAAUACGGAGGAUCCGAGCGUUAUCCGGAUUUAUUGGGUUUAAAGGGAGCGUAGGUGGGUUGUUAAGCCAGAUGUGAAAGAUUGCGGCUCAACCGUGAAAGUGCAUUUGCUACUGGCAGGAGGGAGGGAGGGAGAGGAAGGCGGAAGUGUUGGUGUAGAGGUGAAAUGCUUAGAUA